GUCGCAUGAUCUUUAUGCCAAAGAUUUAUCGCUUCAAGAUGGCCUCGCGUCUGAUUAGCUAGUUGGCGGGGUAACGGCCCACCAAGGCGACGAUCAGUAGCCGGACUGAGAGGUUGAACGGCCACAUUGGGACUGAGAUACGGCCCAGACUCCUACGGGAGGCAGCAGUGGGGAAUAUUGGGCAAUGGGCGCAAGCCUGACCCAGCAACGCCGCGUGAAGGAAGAAGGCUUUCGGGUUGUAAACUUCUUUUAAGAGGGAAGAGCAGAAGACGGUACCUCUAGAAUAAGCCACGGCUAACUACGUGCCAGCAGCCGCGGUAAUACGUAGGUGGCAAGCGUUGUCCGGAUUUACUGGGUGUAAAGGGCGUGCAGCCGGGUCUGCAAGUCAGAUGUGAAAUCCAUGGGCUCAACCCAUGAACUGCAUUUGAAACUGUAGAUCUUGAGUGUCGGAGGGGCAAUCGGAAUUCCUAGUGUAGCGGUGAAAUGCGUAGAUAUUAGGAGGAACACCAGUGGCGAAGGCGGAUUGCUGGACGAUAACUGACGGUGAGGCGCGAAAGUGUGGGGAGCAAACAAGAUUAGAUACCCUGGUAGUCCACACUGUA
RNAcentral lists this ribosomal RNA (602 nucleotides) under uncultured bacterium. Its description in RNAcentral is "bacterial SSU rRNA". It matches the Rfam family "Bacterial small subunit ribosomal RNA", at positions 185 to 804 of the family's 1533-position model. The record is from RNAcentral.